CUCGUCUCUCUUCUGCUCCUGCCUCUCUUCUUAGAAACCCUAGUAUAACUUCAUCUACGAUAAUCGACAGCCGAGAAAGCAUCACAGAAACCUCUAUAUCAUCUUCAAUAAUCUUCAAUCAUCGAUCAGUUGAUUUCUUUUUAGGGUUUGAAGGACUUUGAAGAAUUUAUGCCAACUUAGAAGGGUUUGUUUUAGUGAUGGUGUUUCUGAGAUGAAGAUGGUGUUUGUAAUCGAUAUGGGUUAUGAUUAAUAGAAGAUUAAGUGGAAUGGGUAUGAAGUAGGAACGAUGAUGGUGCUGUUAUGCUAUGAAAUUGGUGGAAGAACAGGAAGGGAAUCUGGUGUUGGUUUAAUGGGUUCUGAGGAUAUGUACCGCAUUGAAUUAUGGAGUUGGGAAGAUUCAGAAGUUGUGAAGUUGAGAAAAUUCAGAAGUUGUGGAUGAUUGGGUUGCAGCUGAACUGAAGUGCAGGGAAAGUAUGGAAUUGUGGAGUUGCUGCUGUGAGAUGGAUAAAGGAUAUAAAGGAUAAGGAAAUGGUGGUUCUGCUGAGAAUGGUCUAGAAUAAGGCAAUGCCUUCCCUUCCACUUUGGUACAACCUUUUCCUUCCACUUUUUGUUUUAAGCUGCAACCAUUAAACGCAUGUUUCUUGUUUUAAGCUGCAUCCGCUUUGGUGGUGCUUGAAGUGAAAAUACUAAUGAUGUUGAGAAGAAAUUAGGAUGGGUUUUGUGUUGGUGGUGUAUGGAACAGAUGUUGAUGCUGCUGAGUUUAGAGCAGAGAGUACAAGAUAGGCGUGGGACUUCGGUUUUGAAGACUUGAAAGCUUAAGCGUCCCUGGUAUGUAUGUGUAUCACUUAACCGGAGCUCGACUUGCUCAUUGUAAUUUUGCCGGACAACAAUGGCUCACUCUAUGUUAUGGCGAGCCUCAUCUUUUAUUGAAACACCCUAUCAGCUUAGACUUUUGAUUGAUUAGUCAAAUGAAUUAUUUAAUGGACAUUUUGUACUGUAUAUGGGACUUGAAACGUAUCUGUGAGACCGAACUUGGUCUUGUUUCCCAGUGUUGUCCGACGAAGCACGUCUUUAAGAUGAGCAAGCAGUACCUGGACAAUGUCGCCCUAAAGAUAAAUGUGAAGGUCGGUGGGCGCAACACUAUUCUAGUUGAUGCAUUGUCAAGGCGCAUACUGCUUGUCAGUGAACGCCCAACUAUUAUCUUUGGUAUUGAUGUGACCCAUCCUCACCCGGGAGAGGAUUCAAGCCCCUCCAUGCUGCUAUUGGCCAGAAGUAACAAAGUAUGCUGGUUUGGUGUGUGCUCAAGCCCAUCGCCAAGAGUUGAUUCAGGAUCUGUUUAAAGUAUGGCAGGAUCCAGUUCGAGGAACUGUGACUGGAGGCAUGGUUAAGGAACUUCUUAUCUCUUUCCAUAGAGCAACUGGAUAGAAGCCUCAGCGUAUUAUAUUUUACAGAUACUUUUUACUGAAUUCUUAAAUUCUUUAACCUGUGCUCCUUGGGUUAAACAAAUUAUGUCCUGUUGAAGUCAAGCUAACUUGUCACUUUCUGUUCACACUGGCUUGUGCUUCCUUGGAGCCGAACUAUCAGCCACCUGUUACAUUUGUUGUGGUUCAAAAACGUCAUCACACAAGGUUGUUUGCAAAUAACCAUAGCGAUCGUCAAACAAUUGACAUGAGUGGAAACAUUUUACCAGGAACUGUGGUAGAUUCCAAGAUCUGUCAUCCUACUGAGUUUGACUUUUACCUCUGCAGUCAUACUGAUAUUCAGGGCACAAGUCGUUCCAGCUCACUAUCACGUGUUAUGGGAUGAGAACAAGUUUACUGCCGAUGGGCUCCACUACCUCACAAAUAAUCUCUGCUACACCUAUGCGAGAUGCACUCGAUCUGUUUCGAUUGUUUGAGCCGCCCUAGUGAGCUUCAAUCCCACGCACUUGAGCAAGUCAAUUUAUCUCCUGAUUUCCAUGGAAUUUUUUCGGCUGUUAGUAGUGUAUGGAUCUACUCUAGUUCUAAACUAGUACGCUACAAAUUGGAUGUUCCUACCAUGUUGAAAAAAGCAGAAAAUAACCCCACUAAUUUGACUUGUAAGGUGAAGGCAUCAUUAUUUGUCGUUGGUUUCUUUUCUGAGUUAUCAGAGGAUUUUGCGUCUAUUGUCUUGGAAGUGAUGAUUAACAUGAUAACUUCGUCAAAAACAACUCCGAGUUUAAAACUAGUUGGAGCUUGCAGAUUAACUUGUAUGGGGACUUCAUUAUCACUUGCAAACAGAGCUUACAAGUUCUGAAAUUUUUCCACUUCAUUUUUUGUAAUGGCCAUGCUACUGUCAUUAACUUAUUGAGAGUUAGAAAUUAUAACUAUAUGUUCUGAAACCUAUAUGUUUGUACCCCGAUUAACUUUGGGUACAAUAUCUUC
Molecule: long non-coding RNA, 2402 nt
Organism: Papaver somniferum (opium poppy)
Lineage: Eukaryota; Viridiplantae; Streptophyta; Magnoliopsida; Ranunculales; Papaveraceae
Exons: 10
Source: RefSeq, a predicted model, not a curated record